AAAGAAAUCAGUUCAGCACUAAGUCACUUUGUCUAUAUGGCAAAUGUGAGAUGCAGUGUAUGGAACAUCAAUAUUCUAGUAUGAGAAAUUAACGAUUUAAGUCCUUCUUAAAUGAGGCCAUUUACCCAUAGAGGGUGCCAGGCCCGUAUAACGUUAAUGAUUAUUAGAUGGUGUUUCCAAAGAGUCGUGUUGCUUGAUAGUGCAGCACUAAGUGGGUGGUAAACUCCAUCUAAAACUAAAUAUAACCAUGAGACCGAUAGUAAACAAGUACCGUGAGGGAAAGUUGAAAAGAACUCUGAAUAGAGAGUUAAAUAGUACGUGAAACUGCUUAGAGGUUAAGCCCGAUGAACCUGAAUAUCCAUUAUGGAAAAUUCAUCAUUAGAAUUGUAAUAUUUUAAUAAUAUUAUAAUAAUAGUGUGCAUUUUUUCCAUAUAAGGACAUUGUAAUCUAUUAACAUAAUAAAAUUUAUCAAAAAAUUUUGAAUUAUUGCUUAUUUAAAUUAUUUUGCUUGCAUUAUAACAUUAAAUAAAUUGUCGUAAAUUUGAUAAAGUGUUGAUAGAUUUAUAUGAAUACUGUGCGCUAAUUUUUCGGAAUUAUAUAAUGGCAUAAUUAUCAUUGAUUUUUGUGUUUAUUAUAAGCAUAUGUAUGAUUAA
Molecule: ribosomal RNA, 653 nt
Filed under: Scaptomyza himalayana
Lineage: Eukaryota; Metazoa; Arthropoda; Insecta; Diptera; Drosophilidae
Description: eukaryotic LSU rRNA
Rfam family: Eukaryotic large subunit ribosomal RNA
Source: RNAcentral